ACGUUCAAUGUUUCCAAUGAUGAGCAGUUAAUCCACUAAACCCAGAGAUAAUUCCCGAGGCAUGUUUAAAGAGUUUUGUAUUUCAUCAAGAAGGUGCUGAUUCACAAAGAUUUUAAAUUUAAGAAAAUCUGAGCAUCAUUCCAAAUAACUGUUAACAUGUUUGUCAACUAAACAUGUUUUGUAAACGUAAUAAACUUUAUAAAAAUAUUUUUUAUUUUGUAUUAAUAAUCAAGUAUAAAGAACAAUGCAUAGUGUGAAAAUGCGGAUUAUAAAAAAGUAUAUUAAAGAAAAGGACUACAUUUCCCAGAAUGCACCUGCACCCACUCAUCUGACUGCCCCCACCCUUCAGGUGCGACUGCUCAACCUAUGGGCUUGACGGAAAAUUCAAAUCGCGAACCGUUACUGCCUGGACUACUCCGUCUCUUGUUUGUUUGUUUGCUCAUUAACAGUAAGAGGUCAUGUACACUGUGGUCAACUUUGUGGACGAUGAAGAGGUUUCUAGGUAAAGAUGAUAGAAAUAUAAUGAAGUAACAGUGAAAGCUAAAACAUCAGACUGAUCCAGACACUGAAGAAAUUGAUGUCACUGCAAUCUGGCCAAAAUGAUACAACUAUAUUGAAGUAGCCUACUGUAAUGAAGCUGCAGAACAACACAGAGACUCUUGAGGACAUCAACACAGAAAAUGAAGGCUCCAAAGAGAUGUCUGUCCAGAUGAGGGUGCAUCAAUGUUACGUUUGCUGACAAGUAUAUGCUUUACAAUGUAAAACCUAACAGUUAACUUAACUCAAACCAUUUAAGGAAAUCGGUUGCCUUAACCCAUUAAGUUUUAAAAAACAUACAUUUGAGUACUGUGAACUUAAGUCUUGUGCAAUUAUGCACUUAUAUUUAGUUAGUGUGAACUUAAAUAUAAGUGCAUAACUGCAUGUGACUCAAUUUGUUUAAGUUCACAGUACUCAAAUCCAUGUGUUUUAAAACUUAAAUGGUUUAAUGCAACCGGUUUUCUUAAAUGGUUUGAGUUUAGUUAACUUUUAGGUUU
Paramisgurnus dabryanus is the source of this 1034-nucleotide non-coding RNA. The record is from RefSeq and is a predicted model, not a curated record. NCBI's taxonomy places the organism in Eukaryota, Metazoa, Chordata, Actinopteri, Cypriniformes, Cobitidae.